This 524-nucleotide ribosomal RNA is filed under the name uncultured bacterium. Its description in RNAcentral is "partial 16S ribosomal RNA". It matches the Rfam family "Bacterial small subunit ribosomal RNA", at positions 28 to 523 of the family's 1533-position model. The record is from RNAcentral.
GACGAACGCUGGCGGCGUGCCUAAUACAUGCAAGUCGAGCGCAGGAAACUGACGGAACUCUUCGGAGGGAAGGCAGUGGAAUGAGCGGCGGACGGGUGAGUAACACGUAAGGAACCUGCCACAAGGAUUGGGAUAACUCCGAGAGAUCGGAGCUAAUACCGGAUAGUUCAACGGACCGCAUGGUCCGCUGAUGAAAGGCGCUCCGGCGUCACCUUGAGAUGGCCUUGCGGUGCAUUAGCUAGUUGGUGGGGUAACGGCCCACCAAGGCGACGAUGCAUAGCCGACCUGAGAGGGUGAUCGGCCACGCUGGGACUGAGACACGGCCCAGACUCCUACGGGAGGCAGCAGUAGGGAAUCUUCCACAAUGGACGAAAGUCUGAUGGAGCAACGCCGCGUGGGUGAUGAAGGUUUUCGGAUCGUAAAACUCUGUUGUAAGGGAAGAACACGUACGAGAGGGAAUGCUCGUACCUUGACGGUACCUUACGAGAAAGCCACGGCUAACUACGUGCCAGCCGCCGCUGUAA